This 908-nucleotide ribosomal RNA is filed under the name uncultured Halomonas sp. Its description in RNAcentral is "bacterial SSU rRNA". It matches the Rfam family "Bacterial small subunit ribosomal RNA", at positions 9 to 907 of the family's 1533-position model. The record is from RNAcentral. Lineage: Bacteria; Pseudomonadati; Pseudomonadota; Gammaproteobacteria; Oceanospirillales; Halomonadaceae.
GAGUUUGAUCCUGGCUCAGAUUGAACGCUGGCGGCAGGCCUAACACAUGCAAGUCGAGCGGAAACGAUGGAAGCUUGCUUCCAGGCGUCGAGCGGCGGACGGGUGUGUAAUGCAUAGGAAUCUGCCCGGUAGUGGGGGAUAACCUGGGGAAACUCAGGACUAAUACCGCAUACGUCCUACGGGAGAAAGCAGGGGCUCUUCGGACCUUGCGCUAUCGGAUGAGCCUAUGCCGGAUUAGCUAGUUGGUGAGGUAAUGGCUCACCAAGGCCGCGAUCCGUAGCUGGUCUGAGAGGAUGAUCAGCCACAUCGGGACUGAGACACGGCCCGAACUCCUACGGGAGGCAGCAGUGGGGAAUAUUGGACAAUGGGCGCAAGCCUGAUCCAGCCAUGCCGCGUGUGUGAAGAAGGCCCUCGGGUUGUAAAGCACUUUCAGUGAGGAAGAACGCCUGGCGGUUAAUACCCGCCAGGGAAGACAUCACUCACAGAAGAAGCACCGGCUAACUCCGUGCCAGCAGCCGCGGUAAUACGGAGGGUGCGAGCGUUAAUCGGAAUUACUGGGCGUAAAGCGCGCGUAGGUGGCUUGAUCAGCCGGUUGUGAAAGCCCCGGGCUCAACCUGGGAACGGCAUCCGGAACUGUCAGGCUAGAGUGCAGGAGAGGAAGGUAGAAUUCCCGGUGUAGCGGUGAAAUGCGUAGAGAUCGGGAGGAAUACCAGUGGCGAAGGCGGCCUUCUGGACUGACACUGACACUGAGGUGCGAAAGCGUGGGUAGCAAACAGGAUUAGAUACCCUGGUAGUCCACGCCGUAAACGAUGUCGACUAGCCGUUGGGUCCCUCGCGGACUUUGUGGCGCAGUUAACGCGAUAAGUCGACCGCCUGGGGAGUACGGCCGCAAGGUUAAAACUCAAAUG